Molecule: ribosomal RNA, 253 nt
Filed under: uncultured bacterium
Lineage: Bacteria
Description: partial 16S ribosomal RNA
Rfam family: Bacterial small subunit ribosomal RNA
Source: RNAcentral
UACGGGGGGGGCAAGCGUUGUUCGGAAUUACUGGGCGUAAAGGGCUCGUAGGUGGCCAACUAAGUCAUACGUGAAAUCCCUCGGCUUAACCGGGGAACUGCGUCUGAUACUGGUUGGCUUGAGUUUGGGAGAGGGACGCGGAAUUCCAGGUGUAGCGGUGAAAUGCGUAGAUAUCUGGAGGAACACCGGUGGCGAAGGCGGCGUCCUGGACCAAUACUGACACUGAGGAGCGAAAGCCAGGGGAGCAAACGGG